This 253-nucleotide ribosomal RNA is filed under the name uncultured bacterium. RNAcentral describes it as "partial 16S ribosomal RNA". It matches the Rfam family "Bacterial small subunit ribosomal RNA", at positions 524 to 776 of the family's 1533-position model. The record is from RNAcentral.
UACGAGGGGGGCAAGCGUUGUUCGGAAUUAUUGGGCGUAAAGGGCGCGUAGGCUGCGGGGCAAGUCGGGUGUGAAAUCUCAGGGCUCAACCCUGAAACUGCACUCGAUACUGCUCUGCUUGAGGACUGGAGAGGAGACUGGAAUUCACGGUGUAGCAGUGAAAUGCGUAGAUAUCGUGAGGAAGACCAGUGGCGAAGGCGGGUCUCUGGACAGUUCCUGACGCUGAGGCGCGAAGGCCAGGGGAGCAAACGGG